Molecule: transfer RNA, 72 nt
Filed under: Trichonephila inaurata madagascariensis
Lineage: Eukaryota; Metazoa; Arthropoda; Arachnida; Araneae; Nephilidae
Rfam family: tRNA
About the family: Transfer RNA (tRNA) molecules are approximately 80 nucleotides in length. Their secondary structure includes four short double-helical elements and three loops (D, anti-codon, and T loops). Further hydrogen bonds mediate the characteristic L-shaped molecular structure. tRNAs have two regions of fundamental functional importance: the anti-codon, which is responsible for specific mRNA codon recognition, and the 3' end, to which the tRNAs corresponding amino acid is attached (by aminoacyl-tRNA synthetases). tRNAs cope with the degeneracy of the genetic code in two manners: having more than one tRNA (with a specific anti-codon) for a particular amino acid; and 'wobble' base-pairing, i.e. permitting non-standard base-pairing at the 3rd anti-codon position.
Source: Rfam by way of RNAcentral
GCCAUCAUAGCUCAGUGGCAGAGCACUGGUCUUGAAAAACCGGGGGUCGGAGUUCGAUCCUCACUGGUGGCU